CAAUAAGCGGAGGAAAAGAAACCAACAGGGAUUACCUCAGUAACGGCGAGUGAAGCGGUAACAGCUCAAAUUUGAAAUCUGGGCCCCUCGGGCCCCGAGUUGUAAUUUGUAGAAGAUGCUUCGGGUGCGGCGCCGGUCUAAGUUCCUUGGAACAGGACGUCAUAGAGGGUGAGAAUCCCGUAUGUGAUCGGCCGCUUGCGCCCGUGUGAAGCUCUUUCGACGAGUCGAGUUGUUUGGGAAUGCAGCUCAAAAUGGGUGGUAAAUUUCAUCUAAAGCUAAAUAUUGGCCAGAGACCGAUAGCGCACAAGUAGAGUGAUCGAAAGAUGAAAAGCACUUUGGAAAGAGAGUUAAACAGUACGUGAAAUUGUUGAAAGGGAAGCGCUUGCAACCAGACUUGCGCGUUGCCGAUCAUCCGGGGUUCUCCCCGGUGCACUCGGCCUCGCUCAGGCCAGCAUCGGUUUCGGUGGUGGGAUAAAGGCCUUGGGAAUGUAGCUUCUCUCGGGGAGUGUUAUAGCCCUCGGUGCAAUGCCGCCUACCGGGACCGAGGACCGCGCUUCGGCUAGGAUGCUGGCGUAAUGGUUGUAAGCGACCCGUCUUGAAACACGGACCAAGGAGUCUAACAUCUAU
This 627-nucleotide ribosomal RNA is filed under the name Verkleyomyces illicii. Its description in RNAcentral is "eukaryotic LSU rRNA". It matches the Rfam family "Eukaryotic large subunit ribosomal RNA", at positions 44 to 685 of the family's 3401-position model. Lineage: Eukaryota; Fungi; Ascomycota; Leotiomycetes; Helotiales; Dermateaceae. The record is from RNAcentral.